AUUACCUCCUCGUUAAGCAGUGCAUAAAGACAGCAGCUUUCUCUCCACUCCUUGCCAGAUCGUCUGCGCUAUGUUGCUGUUCCUACCUCCUGCUUAACUCUGUGGUACCACCUCCCAGCUGGGUUCCUCGCCGCCAAGACCUUCCUGUCCUGACUGUCCGGAUUCAGUCGACCAGCUUCUUGUCUCGUCCUGCCUGUCCGUCCGGCUCUGCCCUCCUGGCCCCCUUGCCGUGUUUCCAGCCUCGCCAGUCAGCUCCCUGUUCCCAUCCAGUCUCUACCAGUUCCUUUACCUCCCUUGUAUUUGCUAUAGUUGUUGUUAAUAAACUUAUCGCCCCGUA
Trichomycterus rosablanca is the source of this 337-nucleotide long non-coding RNA. RefSeq lists it as uncharacterized. The record is from RefSeq and is a predicted model, not a curated record. NCBI's taxonomy places the organism in Eukaryota, Metazoa, Chordata, Actinopteri, Siluriformes, Trichomycteridae. The transcript has 2 exons.